This is a non-coding RNA of Acidiphilium rubrum, 395 nucleotides long. It matches the Rfam family "Bacterial RNase P class A". Rfam says of the family: Ribonuclease P (RNase P) is a ubiquitous endoribonuclease, found in archaea, bacteria and eukarya as well as chloroplasts and mitochondria. Its best characterised activity is the generation of mature 5'-ends of tRNAs by cleaving the 5'-leader elements of precursor-tRNAs. The record is from Rfam. NCBI's taxonomy places the organism in Bacteria, Pseudomonadati, Pseudomonadota, Alphaproteobacteria, Acetobacterales, Acidocellaceae.
CCAGACGGUUGGACGGCCGCCGUUCCGGGCAACCGGGGCGGAGGAAAGUCCGGGCUCCACGGAAACACGGUGCCGGUUAACGACCGGCGGGGGCGACCCCAGGGACAGUGCCACAGAAAACAAACCGCCCGCGCGUGCAAACCCGCGGGCAAGGGUGAAACGGUGCGGUAAGAGCGCACCGCGCCUGCGGUAACGUAGGCGGCAGGGUAAACCCCACCGGGAGCAAGACCGAAUAGGGGUGGCCGGCGGCGUGAGCGAUCAUGGCCGCGGGGGUGUUUUCGACCCGUCACCCGGGUUGGUCGCGCGAGGCGCGCAGCAAUGCGCGUCCCAGACGAAUGGCCGUCCACCAUCCGCGAGGAUGCGGACAGAACCCGGCUUACAGACCGUCUGGCAUC